UGUCCCGUCGCUCCAACACAAACAAAGACCCGGGUGCUCCACAGUCACCGGCAUGACUUUACGACGCCGCGUUCAUUCCGUUUAAUCUAGCGGAACAACCAGUUGGUGGCUACAUCUCUGGUAGAGAAACCUUUGGUCCUAAAUCAGGGAGAAGAAGGGAUGUUUCUGCGAGGAGGAAGAGGAGCAGAAUGACCGAAGCUCUUACUCCUCUGUGAGUCUGACAGCAGGGAAUGAUGGGGAAACCCGAUAAGAUCACUGAGCUUUAACAACACUGACGCUUCAACUGAGAAGCCUGGUCAAAUGAACCAUGAGAUGAGACCAGUUUAUGAGAUUUUACUUCCUAUCUUGGAGUAAAUCUACACUCCAGACUGGAACCUGUAAUGAAAUCAUGAAGUCAGUUGUGUCUGUAAGGUCUGACAUGCAUCAGAUCAGAGACUUUGUUUAUUUCAGUCAAGACUUGACUUGGACUUGUUGAAGAUGACUCGUGUGCAUCUUUGCUUCAUUAGACAGAGUCGAACAUGGAGCAAAGCAGCAAAACAAACAGAACAACAGCUGAUGACGAUAAUACACCAAUGCUCCCUUUUACACUUUGACCUGAGGAUGUUUUUGUUUAUUGUUCUUCCAACCGUGAAAUAAAAAUGCAACACAC
Poecilia latipinna (sailfin molly) is the source of this 649-nucleotide long non-coding RNA. RefSeq lists it as uncharacterized. The record is from RefSeq and is a predicted model, not a curated record. NCBI's taxonomy places the organism in Eukaryota, Metazoa, Chordata, Actinopteri, Cyprinodontiformes, Poeciliidae. The transcript has 3 exons.